CAAUAGCGUAUAUUUAAGUUGUUGCAGUUAAAAAGCUCGUAGUCGGAUUUUGGCUGAGAACGAACGGUCCGCCGUUAGGUGUGCACUGUUUGGUCUCAGCUUCCUGGUGAGGAGGUGUGCUUCACAGCCACUUAGUCACCGUGGUUACUUUGAAAAAAUUAGAGUGUUCAAAGCGGGCUUACGCUUGAAUAUAUUAGCAUGGAAUAACACCAUAGGACUCCUGUCCUAUUUCGUUGGUCUCGGGACGGGAGUAAUGAUUAAGAGGAACAGUUGGGGGCAUUCGUAUUUCAUUGUCAGAGGUGAAAUUCUUGGAUUUAUGAAAGACGAACUUCUGCGAAAGCAUUUGCCAAGGAUGUUUUCAUUG
RNAcentral lists this ribosomal RNA (364 nucleotides) under uncultured eukaryote. Its description in RNAcentral is "partial 18S ribosomal RNA". It matches the Rfam family "Eukaryotic small subunit ribosomal RNA", at positions 592 to 975 of the family's 1831-position model. The record is from RNAcentral.